Molecule: long non-coding RNA, 197 nt
Organism: Saccostrea cuccullata (small rock oyster)
Lineage: Eukaryota; Metazoa; Mollusca; Bivalvia; Ostreida; Ostreidae
Exons: 2
Source: RefSeq, a predicted model, not a curated record
ACAGGACAAGUGUCAGCACAAGGCAUCUCUACUACUCUAUGGUAAUAAGAAUGUUAGCAAGACUGAUGUGAGGGUUUCUUGGAUUCAGCAUCCAAAGCGAGCACCACCAAAGAAGACAACUACUAUGGAGGAGCUAUUUCCACCACCACCACAUUUAGCGAAGUACAGGUAUUCUUCAAAUUAUGUAUAAAAAAGAA